GUGCUUGUUUCAGCAGCACAUAUACUAAAAUUAGAACUAUGGCAGUAGCAUGGCCCUAUUCAAGGAUGACAUGCACAUGCUUGAAGCUUUACCUUUUACA
This 100-nucleotide small nuclear RNA is filed under the name Fukomys damarensis (Damara mole-rat). The record is from RNAcentral. Lineage: Eukaryota; Metazoa; Chordata; Mammalia; Rodentia; Bathyergidae.